AAGACAUUAGUAAAUCUGAAUUACAUCACCUUGUCAAGGUGAAAUAGUAGGUUAAACUCCUGCAUGUUUUA
RNAcentral lists this transfer RNA (71 nucleotides) under Lefua echigonia. RNAcentral's name for it is "tRNA-Asp". It matches the Rfam family "tRNA". From Rfam's summary of the family: Transfer RNA (tRNA) molecules are approximately 80 nucleotides in length. Their secondary structure includes four short double-helical elements and three loops (D, anti-codon, and T loops). Further hydrogen bonds mediate the characteristic L-shaped molecular structure. tRNAs have two regions of fundamental functional importance: the anti-codon, which is responsible for specific mRNA codon recognition, and the 3' end, to which the tRNAs corresponding amino acid is attached (by aminoacyl-tRNA synthetases). tRNAs cope with the degeneracy of the genetic code in two manners: having more than one tRNA (with a specific anti-codon) for a particular amino acid; and 'wobble' base-pairing, i.e. permitting non-standard base-pairing at the 3rd anti-codon position. The record is from RNAcentral. Lineage: Eukaryota; Metazoa; Chordata; Actinopteri; Cypriniformes; Nemacheilidae.